GGGGCUGUAGCUUAGUGGCAGAGUACUUGCACAGCACAAUGAGGUACUGGGUUCAAUCCACAGCAGCACCU
RNAcentral lists this transfer RNA (71 nucleotides) under Ictidomys tridecemlineatus (thirteen-lined ground squirrel). RNAcentral describes it as "Spermophilus tridecemlineatus (thirteen-lined ground squirrel) tRNA". It matches the Rfam family "tRNA". Rfam says of the family: Transfer RNA (tRNA) molecules are approximately 80 nucleotides in length. Their secondary structure includes four short double-helical elements and three loops (D, anti-codon, and T loops). Lineage: Eukaryota; Metazoa; Chordata; Mammalia; Rodentia; Sciuridae. The record is from Rfam by way of RNAcentral.